GCGCGACUAGCUCAGCUGGCAGAGCACCUGACUCUUAAUCAGGGUGUCCAGGGUUCGAACCCCUGGUCGCGCACGA
RNAcentral lists this transfer RNA (76 nucleotides) under Pseudobutyrivibrio xylanivorans. RNAcentral describes it as "tRNA_Lys_CTT". It matches the Rfam family "tRNA". From Rfam's summary of the family: Transfer RNA (tRNA) molecules are approximately 80 nucleotides in length. Lineage: Bacteria; Bacillati; Bacillota; Clostridia; Lachnospirales; Lachnospiraceae. RNAcentral also lists the same sequence under 2 other names. The record is from RNAcentral.